GUGGGGAAUCUUGCGCAAUGGGCGAAAGCCUGACGCAGCCAUGCCGCGUGAAUGAUGAAGGUCUUAGGAUUGUAAAAUUCUUUCACCGGGGACGAUAAUGACGGUACCCGGAGAAGAAGCUCCGGCUAACUUCGUGCCAGCAGCCGCGGUAAUACGAAGGGGGCUAGCGUUGCUCGGAAUUACUGGGCGUAAAGGGCGCGUAGGCGGACAGCUUAGUCAGAGGUGAAAGCCCCGGGCUCAACCUUGGAAUUGCCUUUGAUACUGGCUGUCUUGAGUUUGGGAGAGGUGAGUGGAACUCCGAGUGUAGAGGUGAAAUUCGUAGAUAUUCGGAAGAACACCAGUGGCGAAGGCGACUCACUGGCCCAAUACUGACGCUGAGGCGCGAAAGCGUGGGGAGCAAACAGGAUUAGAAACCCUAGUAGUCC
Molecule: ribosomal RNA, 425 nt
Filed under: uncultured bacterium
Lineage: Bacteria
Description: partial 16S ribosomal RNA
Rfam family: Bacterial small subunit ribosomal RNA
Source: RNAcentral